GAUGAACGCUGGCGGCGUGCCUAAUACAUGCAAGUCGAGCGAACGGACGAGAAGCUUGCUUCUCUGAUGUUAGCGGCGGACGGGUGAGUAACACGUGGAUAACCUACCUAUAAGACUGGGAUAACUUCGGGAAACCGGAGCUAAUACCGGAUAAUAUUUUGAACCGCAUGGUUCAAAAGUGAAAGACGGUCUUGCUGUCACUUAUAGAUGGAUCCGCGCUGCAUUAGCUAGUUGGUAAGGUAACGGCUUACCAAGGCAACGAUGCAUAGCCGACCUGAGAGGGGGGUCGGCCACACGGGAACGGAGACACGGUCCAGACUCCUACGGGAGGCAGCAGUAGGGAAUCUUCCGCAAUGGGCGAAAGCCUGACGGAGCAACGCCGCGUGAGUGAUGAAGGUCUUCGGAUCGUAAAACUCUGUUAUUAGGGAAGAACAUAUGUGUAAGUAACUGUGCACAUCUUGACGGUACCUAAUCAGAAAGCCACGGCUAACUACGUG
RNAcentral lists this ribosomal RNA (497 nucleotides) under uncultured bacterium. RNAcentral describes it as "partial 16S ribosomal RNA". It matches the Rfam family "Bacterial small subunit ribosomal RNA", at positions 28 to 507 of the family's 1533-position model. The record is from RNAcentral.